This 1201-nucleotide long non-coding RNA is filed under the name Anser cygnoides (Swan goose). RNAcentral describes it as "lncRNA (ENSACDG00005016306.1)". The record is from RNAcentral. Lineage: Eukaryota; Metazoa; Chordata; Aves; Anseriformes; Anatidae.
AUGUUCUCAUGCUGCUACUGCUUGGAGUGCCCUAUGCUGAUAAUCACCAGUGACGUUACUGGGCUGGAUGCAGCAGGAGUUACAAAGCAAGGGGUGUUAGAGGAUCUGAUAGUAGGCAGAGUAAGAAAAUAUGGCUUAGAAUCUAAAAUACUGUUUAACACUAAAAUAUUAUGGUCAAAGUUCUGCUCUCAUUUGCACUGAAGAAUAUCCUUUGAAAACAAUUUGUCAGGUUUGUCUAAUGUAUUGCAGUCAGGAGUUGUGACUUAGAGAAUUUUUACUUGAUUUAUUGUGAAUUAUCAUACAUUUCUGAUCACUGAUUUGGGUAUUCAGAAGAAAGAAAACACAAAUAAUUAAACACUGGAAUAUGUUUCUUCUUGAAUUCCCAGGCUCAGCUUAAGCCAAACACCUCCUUCCUCCUGUCCCCUUCCUAGUCUCAAGUUCCCUCUUUUUUCCCACAUUUAUGCUUGGUCCUUCUCAUUUCCUUUGAGUAUAGGGUUGUGUGUAACUGGUUCUGUCUACUAGGGUCACCCACAGGCCAUAGCUCCUUGUGGCUAUCCCUGCCUCAGCAGCAGUCACCCCUGGGCUGCAGUCACUCAGGGUUGCCCCUGGCAUGGAUUGCCUGCUUCCAAGAUCAUCUCCCCAGCAGCAGGAGUCAAGCAAAAAAAAAAAAAAAAAAGCCUCAAGAACAUAUUGAAGCAGAACUGGUAUUAUUUACCAAACAGUAUAAAGACUUUUAUAUUGAUAUUAGUACAGCUUUGAUAUUGAUAUUAGUACAGCUCUUACACCACGUUAGAUAUUGCUUAUAACUAUUGCAGAGCUUAAACAUAUCUCUGUCCCUGCCAAUAUAAUAUGCUUAGUGAAAUAAGCACUUACCUAGAUAUUCAUACACAAUAUGAUUAUUAUUUUAUAUUUUCUUCUGGAAGCAUCAGAAGUAUUAUAUAUCUACUCAGUUGUUGUGUUUGUUUCUAGUUAGAAUUAUUAACCUUGUUUGGUUUACUUUCUUAAAUAUGUAGGUGGGGAGGAAAGCUCCAAUUCUAAUCACUAAGGGGUUGAAAGAAUGAUGAGUAACUGUGAAGCUGAGGCUGGAGGUACAGCAGAAAUGACUUAUCCUGGAUAACUUUACAUUUGUAAUGUGUGUAGAUUGCACUGCAGCAUUUAGAAAUAACUGACAUGCAGGGGAAAUACAAGCAAUAUCAGUGUU